GAUGAACGCUGGCGGCGUGCUUAACACAUGCAAGUCGAACGGAAAGGCUCCUGCUUGCAGGGGUACUCGAGUGGCGAACGGGUGAGUAACACGUGGGUGAUCUGCCCUGCACUUCGGGAUAAGCCUGGGAAACUGGGCCUAAUACCGGAUAGGACGAUGGGUUGGAUGCCAUUGUGGAAAGUUUUUCGGUGUGGGCUGAGCUCGCGGCCUAUCAGCUUGUUGGGGGGGUAAUGGCCUACCAAGGCGUCGACGGGUAGCCGGCCGGGGAGGGUGUACGGCCACAUUGGGACUGCGGUACGCCCCAGACUCCUACGGGAGGCAGCAGUGGGGAAUAUUGCACAAUGGGCGCAAGCCUGAUGCAGCGACGCCGCGUGGGGGAUGACGGCCUUCGGGUUGUAAACUCCUUUCGCUAGGGACGAAGCGCUAGUGACGGUACCUGGAGAAGAAGCACCGGCUAACUACGUG
RNAcentral lists this ribosomal RNA (465 nucleotides) under uncultured bacterium. RNAcentral's name for it is "partial 16S ribosomal RNA". It matches the Rfam family "Bacterial small subunit ribosomal RNA", at positions 28 to 507 of the family's 1533-position model. The record is from RNAcentral.